GCCGGGCAUGGUGGUGCAUGCCUGUAAUCCCAGCUACUCAGGAGGCUGAGGCAGGAGAAUUGCUUGAACCCAGGAGAUGGAGGUUGCAGUGAGCCAAGAUUGCGCCACUGCACUCCAGCCUGGGUGACAGAGCAAGACUCCAUCUCAA
RNAcentral lists this non-coding RNA (148 nucleotides) under Gorilla gorilla gorilla (western lowland gorilla). The record is from Rfam by way of RNAcentral. Lineage: Eukaryota; Metazoa; Chordata; Mammalia; Primates; Hominidae.